AUGGCUCGGAUCGACAACGAGGCAGCCAUCCGCCGCAUCCCGAGCUACCUACAAGAUCCCCUCGAUCCCCUGGCGAACCCUAGAUCACCACUCCUCCCCUCUUUCGCUCGCCCCCUUUGUUUUCUCCAUCACCCGACGCUGCCGUCGCCGUGCGCCGCUCGAUCCCGCGGCCACCAUCCUCCUGUGGCCCCACCGCCAUGCGGUAGGGCUUCGCCGUCGUCUUCCACGCCGUAUGGUGCUAGCCAUUCGAGCCGGGAGCACCUACGUCGAGACUGGCGGCAUCAUCUUCUUCCCGUCGUCCGCUCCGAUCGCCGUCGUUCGUUGUCGAAUCGGCCGGCCUCUGCUGCUCCUAAGCCACCGCCGGGCCUUCGUGUGCCUCCCCGACCAACGUUGAUGCGGCUGAGUACGACUACAUCCCCGACGACCCCUCCUUGCCAGAGCAACCAGAUGUCGGAGCCAGAUGCCACCGUCGAUGCCUACUACUACGUGGAGACCAUCGACGACCAGGAGUAG
This 513-nucleotide ribosomal RNA is filed under the name Triticum aestivum (bread wheat). RNAcentral's name for it is "partial small subunit ribosomal RNA". The record is from RNAcentral. Lineage: Eukaryota; Viridiplantae; Streptophyta; Magnoliopsida; Poales; Poaceae.